CGUACGCUUCUUUUUCCACCGGAGCUUGCUCCACCGGAAAAAGAGGAGUGGCGAACGGGUGAGUAACACGUGGGUAACCUGCCCAUCAGAAGGGGAUAACACUUGGAAACAGGUGCUAAUACCGUAUAACAAUCGAAACCGCAUGGUUUUGAUUUGAAAGGCGCUUUCGGGUGUCGCUGAUGGAUGGACCCGCGGUGCAUUAGCUAGUUGGUGAGGUAACGGCUCACCAAGGCCACGAUGCAUAGCCGACCUGAGAGGGUGAUCGGCCACAUUGGGACUGAGACACGGCCCAAACUCCUACGGGAGGCAGCAGUAGGGAAUCUUCGGCAAUGGACGAAAGUCUGACCGAGCAACGCCGCGUGAGUGAAGAAGGUUUUCGGAUCGUAAAACUCUGUUGUUAGAGAAGAACAAGGAUGAGAGUAACUGUUCAUCCCUUGACGGUAUCUAACCAGAAAGCCACGGCUAACUACGUGCCAGCAGCCGCGGUAAUACGUAGGUGGCAAGCGUUGUCCGGAUUUAUUGGGCGUAAAGCGAGCGCAGGCGGUUUCUUAAGUCUGAUG
This 560-nucleotide ribosomal RNA is filed under the name Enterococcus faecalis. Its description in RNAcentral is "bacterial SSU rRNA". It matches the Rfam family "Bacterial small subunit ribosomal RNA", at positions 63 to 594 of the family's 1533-position model. Lineage: Bacteria; Bacillati; Bacillota; Bacilli; Lactobacillales; Enterococcaceae. The record is from RNAcentral.